RNAcentral lists this unclassified non-coding RNA (244 nucleotides) under Hevea brasiliensis (rubber tree). Lineage: Eukaryota; Viridiplantae; Streptophyta; Magnoliopsida; Malpighiales; Euphorbiaceae. The record is from RNAcentral.
AAUUUAAACACACCCAUGGGUUCAAAUACUAUGAAAUGUAUUGUGACACAAACGUUAGAGAUAAAUGACGCAGGGUGGUGUGGAUGGAAGACAAAUCAUUGCUCAAAGUUUGAAAAGAGUAUUCCUUAUGCAUUGUUGUCUCAAGUAGCAGGUUUGAAGGAAUACAUUGGAGCGAAUCCAGUUCUGAAAUCUACAUACACCACUACAGUUGUCCAUUCAAAAGUUUCGGAUGAUUGCACCUCCA